UACAGAGGUGGCAAGCGUUGUUCGGAAUUACUGGGCGUAAAGGGCGCGUAGGCGGUCUUGUAAGUCCUGUGUGAAAUCCCCCGGCUCAACUGGGGAAUUGCACGGGAAACUGCUUGGCUUGAGUUCGGGAGAGGGAAGCGGAAUUCCGGGUGUAGCGGUGAAAUGCGUAGAUAUCCGGAGGAACACCAGUGGCGAAAGCGGCUCUCUGGGGGCAACCUGACGCUGAGGCGCGAAAGCGUGGGGAGCGAACCGG
RNAcentral lists this ribosomal RNA (253 nucleotides) under uncultured bacterium. RNAcentral's name for it is "partial 16S ribosomal RNA". It matches the Rfam family "Bacterial small subunit ribosomal RNA", at positions 524 to 776 of the family's 1533-position model. The record is from RNAcentral.